RNAcentral lists this ribosomal RNA (484 nucleotides) under uncultured bacterium. Its description in RNAcentral is "partial 16S ribosomal RNA". It matches the Rfam family "Bacterial small subunit ribosomal RNA", at positions 30 to 507 of the family's 1533-position model. The record is from RNAcentral.
AUUGAACGCUGGCGGCAGGCCUAACACAUGCAAGUCGAGCGGAUGAAGGGAGCUUGCUCCUGGCUUCAGCGGCGGACGGGUGAGUAAUGCCUAGGAAUCUGACUGGUAGUGGGGGCUAACGUCCGGAAACGGGCGCUAAUACCGCAUACGUCAUGAGGGAGAAAGUGGGGGAUCUUCGGACCUCACGCUAUCAGAUGAGCCUAGGACGGAUUAGCUAGUUGGUGGGGUAAAGGCCUACCAAGGCGACGAUCCGUAACUGGUCUGAGAGGAUGAUCAGUCACACUGGAACUGAGACACGGUCCAGACUCCUACGGGAGGCAGCAGUGGGGAAUAUUGGACAAUGGGCGAAAGCCUGAUCCAGCCAUGCCGCGUGUGUGAAGAAGGUCUUCGGAUUGUAAAGCACUUUAAGUUGGGAGGAAGGGCAGUAAGAUAAUACCUUGCUGUUUUGACGUUACCAACAGAAUAAGCACCGGCUAACUUCGUG